RNAcentral lists this ribosomal RNA (497 nucleotides) under uncultured bacterium. Its description in RNAcentral is "partial 16S ribosomal RNA". It matches the Rfam family "Bacterial small subunit ribosomal RNA", at positions 28 to 507 of the family's 1533-position model. The record is from RNAcentral.
GACGAACGCUGGCGGCGUGCCUAAUACAUGCCAGUCGAGCGAACGGACGAGAAGUUUGCUUCUCUCAUGUUAGCGGCGGAGGGGGGAGAAACACGUGGAUACCCUACUUAUAAGACUGGGAUAACUUCGGGAAACCGUAGCUAAUACCGGAUAAUAUUUUGAUCCGUAGGGGGCAAAAGUGAAAGACGGUCUUGCUGUCACUUAUCGAUGGAUCCGCGCUGCAUUAGCUAGUUGGUAGGGUAACGGCUUACCAAGGGAACGAUGCCUAGCCGACGUGAGAGGGGGAUAGGCCACAUGGGAAGGGAGACGCGCACCUGGCGCCUACGGGAGGCAGCAGUAGGGAAUGUUCCGCAAUGGGCGAAAGCAUGACGGAGCAACGCCGAGUGAGUGAUGAAGGUGUUCGGAUCGUAAAACUCUGUUAUUAGGGAAGAACAUAUGUGUAAGUAACUGUGCACAUCUUGACGGUACCUGAUCAGAAAGCCACGGCUAACUACGUG